GGUUUCAGAGAUGAUUACCUUCAGUUCGGCUGGAUUAGUGACAGGUGCUGCAUGGCUGUCGUCAGCUCGUGUCGUGAGAUGUUGGGUUAAGUCCCGCAACGAGCGCAACCCUCGUCCUUAGUUGCCAUCAUUCAGUUGGGCACUCUAAGGAAACUGCCGGUGAUAAGCCGGAGGAAGGUGGGGAUGACGUCAAGUCCUCAUGGCCCUUACACGCUGGGCUACACACGUGCUACAAUGGCGGUGACAGUGGGCAGCAACCGGGCGACCGGUAGCUAAUCUCCAAAAACCGUCUCAGUUCGGAUUGUUCUCUGCAACUCGAGAGCAUGAAGGCGGAAUCGCUAGUAAUCGUGGAUCAGCAUGCCGCGGUGAAUACGUUCCCAGGCCUUGUACACACCGCCCGUCACACCAUGGGAUUUGGAUUCACCCGAAGGCGUUGCGCUAACUCGCAAGAGAGGCAGGCGACCACGGUGGGUUUAGAGACUGGGGUGA
Molecule: ribosomal RNA, 489 nt
Filed under: uncultured bacterium
Lineage: Bacteria
Description: bacterial SSU rRNA
Rfam family: Bacterial small subunit ribosomal RNA
Source: RNAcentral